CUGGGUCAGUGUACUUGAAAGUUAUUAAUUAUUUCACUUCAAUCUAUAAUAGUUAAUUAAAGCUUAAAACAAAAAUAAAUUGCUUGUGUUUGGUGAAAACGUUGCUGGUCAGAUGGGAUUUUAGCAAUAUAAUGCAGCCAAUAGGUUUGUUUUGUUUAUAGCAAUAUUGGAUGACCUUGAAAUGUUCAUCUGGCCAAUGUGGACUCUUUAAGAUAAGAACCCAAUUUCUUUUCUUCUCUUUACCUGGGUUAGGAUUAACAGUUCACACUAUCAAAAGGAUAUUAGCACAUGACAAGCCUACAGAUAUUUCUUAAUGUUAUUUCACUUGCCGUCCCUCAGAGCCAGCAUGAAGGCACUGUCAGCAGAACUCAGACGUGUGUGACUGCAACUCUACAGAGAAGAAGAUUCACGGGUACUCAGCGCACCAUGAUGCCACAGCUUACAUCCAGCUGGGUCGUUGUUGUUGCUGUUGUUUUUAAGGUUAAUCAGGUCUUUAAUAAAAGACCAUGGAAAUGUCAGCAGUCUGAACAAACAAACCUGAAUUGUAACUGAACAUUCGUUCAAACAAAGAAAUAUAAACCCUGUUUUUAUUAAUGUUCUUCACACAGGUAGGAAACGGAUUGGAAUUAUAAUUAGAAAUAUAUAUUUUCACAAUAUUAUCUAUAAGCUCCAGUACAUGCUUGAAUAUGAAUUAUAUGUAUUAAUCUUGCCAACGUGACCAUGCUUUAAGGCUUGUAGUCCAGAAACUUUUUAAUGAAAACAGCUACUUGGUAAAUUAAUGAAAUAAAUGGAAGAAUUAGUUAAUUAAGC
RNAcentral lists this long non-coding RNA (810 nucleotides) under Coturnix japonica (Japanese quail). Its description in RNAcentral is "lncRNA (ENSCJPG00005012669.1)". Lineage: Eukaryota; Metazoa; Chordata; Aves; Galliformes; Phasianidae. The record is from RNAcentral.